This 445-nucleotide ribosomal RNA is filed under the name uncultured bacterium. RNAcentral describes it as "partial 16S ribosomal RNA". It matches the Rfam family "Bacterial small subunit ribosomal RNA", at positions 330 to 792 of the family's 1533-position model. The record is from RNAcentral.
UCCAGACUCCUACGGGAGGCAGCAGUGGGGAAUAUUGCACAAUGGGGGGAACCCUGAUGCAGCGACGCCGCGUGGGUGAAGAAGUCAUUCGUGACGUAAAGCCCUAUCAGCAGGGAAGAAAAUGACGGUACCUGACUAAGAAGCCCCGGCUAACUACGUGCCAGCAGCCGCGGUAAUACGUAGGGGGCAAGCGUUAUCCGGAUUUACUGGGCGUAAAGCGCUCGUAGGCGGUAUGUCAAGUCAAGGGUGAAAGCCCCGCGCUCAACGUGGGAACUGCCUUUGAAACUGGCAAACUGGAGUGUGUGAGAGGAUAGUGGAAUUCCAGGUGUAGGAGUGAAAUCCGUAGAUAUCUGGAGGAACAUCAGUGGCGAAGGCGACUAUCUGGCACAUAACUGACGCUGAGGAGCGAAAGCGUGGGUAGCAAACAGGAUUAGAUACCCCUGUA